Acanthosepion pharaonis is the source of this 98-nucleotide non-coding RNA. The record is from the annotation of a GenBank genome assembly. NCBI's taxonomy places the organism in Eukaryota, Metazoa, Mollusca, Cephalopoda, Sepiida, Sepiidae.
CGUAGACACAAGAUCCGAUACGAUCACCGAAGUAAAUCAACCUCGAGCCUGGUUACUAACUAGAUGGGUGACCACUUGGGAAUACCAGGUGCUGUAAG